GCGUGUGUGUGUGUGUGUGGAUAUAUCUAUCUAUAUAUCUAUAUAUAUAUAUAUCCAUAUAUAUAUAUAUAGAUAGAUAUAUCCACACACACACACUGCUGUGU
Molecule: microRNA precursor, 104 nt
Filed under: Pelobates cultripes (western spadefoot toad)
Lineage: Eukaryota; Metazoa; Chordata; Amphibia; Anura; Pelobatidae
Source: RNAcentral